UGAUAGCUCAGUUGGUAGAGCAAAGGACUGAAAAUCCUUGUGUGGUAGGUUCAAUUCCUACUCA
Molecule: transfer RNA, 64 nt
Filed under: bovine gut metagenome
Rfam family: tRNA
About the family: Transfer RNA (tRNA) molecules are approximately 80 nucleotides in length. Their secondary structure includes four short double-helical elements and three loops (D, anti-codon, and T loops).
Source: RNAcentral